This 266-nucleotide long non-coding RNA is filed under the name Ananas comosus (pineapple). RNAcentral describes it as "long non-coding RNA (ACOM_LNC034561)". The record is from RNAcentral. Lineage: Eukaryota; Viridiplantae; Streptophyta; Magnoliopsida; Poales; Bromeliaceae.
UCGAGAUUGAAAGUGUCGAGCCUAUCACGAAGACGGCCGCUCAAUCAAUCCGAUACAAGGAUCGUCACCGUCGCGUCGCUCGUGCGCACAAUCUUUUCUUUUGAUGUUGAGGGAGGCGGGCUUAAUGAAUACGCGCGCAUGAUAUAGUAACGAUUGAAUGUCAAAUUUGAUCGGAUCGACCUAUCACGAAGACGGUCGUGUUGAUCAAACCGACAUAAAAUCGCGACUAUAUCGUUUACACGUAUACAACGACCCGUCGCCAUCGU